RNAcentral lists this transfer RNA (69 nucleotides) under Sarcocheilichthys variegatus wakiyae. Its description in RNAcentral is "tRNA-Val". The record is from RNAcentral. Lineage: Eukaryota; Metazoa; Chordata; Actinopteri; Cypriniformes; Gobionidae.
UAGCUAAGCAUCUCACUUACACCGAGAAGACAUCCAUGCAAGUUGGAUCACCCUGAACCAAACAGCUAG